This is a Y RNA of Callithrix jacchus (white-tufted-ear marmoset), 102 nucleotides long. It matches the Rfam family "Y RNA". From Rfam's summary of the family: Y RNAs are components of the Ro ribonucleoprotein particle (Ro RNP), in association with Ro60 and La proteins. The record is from Ensembl. NCBI's taxonomy places the organism in Eukaryota, Metazoa, Chordata, Mammalia, Primates, Cebidae.
GGCUGGUCCGAGUGCAGUGGUGUUUACAACGAAUUGAUCACAACCAGUUACAGAUUUCUUUGUUCCUUCUCCACUCCCACUGCUUCACUUGACUAGCUUUAA